AAUAUGUGCAAGAAUCUGCGAGAAGGUUUUUAAAAUCUCUUUCAUUUCUCUCUCAUCAUCGUUUCUGAUUUCAGCCUCUCUUCUCUCUCGAAACCUAGGGCUACGACAACGAUGCAGCCAUCAAACUCUAUGAUUCCAUCGCCCAUGGCUCAGCCUCCCCAGUACCGACCCCAGCAGUGGAUGCCACAGCAGACGCAGCAGGCGCAGUACCAGGUUCCUCCACCGCAACAGCCAGCGGCGGCGGCUGGGUACUACUAUCAGCAACCACCACCGGCUGCGCCGACGCAACAGCCAGAGCAGUACGGCGUCGGGCCUGUGGCUCAGGCUCCAGCCGACGACGGGAUCCGGAGCCUGUGGAUUGGAGAUCUUCAAUACUGGAUGGAUGAGCAGUACAUCUACAGUUGUUUUGCUUUGACUGGCGAGGUGGUGUCUGCUAAAGUCAUCCGCAACAAGCAAACUGGCCAAUCAGAAGGUUAUGGCUUUAUUGAGUUUGUCAGUCAUGCUGCCGCAGAAAGAAAUCUGCUGACAUAUAAUGGCACUCAGAUGCCAAACACUGAGCAAACAUUCAGGUUGAACUGGGCAUCUAUGGGAGCUGGUGAAAAGCAUGAUGAUACUCCUGAAUACACAGUUUUUGUUGGAGACUUGGCAGCUGAUGUAACUGACUACAUGCUCCAAGAAACUUUUAGGGCUAACUAUUCCUCAGUCAAGGGUGCAAAGGUUGUAACAGAUAAAAUAACUGGACGCACAAAGGGCUAUGGAUUUGUGAGGUUUGGUGAUGAAAGCGAACAACUACGAGCCAUGGCUGAGAUGAAUGGAAGGUAUUGUUCAACCAGGCCCAUGCGAAUUGGCCCAGCUGCUAGCAAACAAAAAGUGGGUGUUCAGGCUAAAGCUUCAUACCAGACUUCUCAAGGAACACAGGGUGAGGAUGACCCUACUAAUACAACUAUAUUUGUUGGUAAUUUGGACUCUAAUAUCACAGAUGAGCAUCUGAGGCAGAUUUUUGGCCAAUAUGGACAGUUACUUCAUGUAAAAAUACCAGCAGGAAAACGAUGUGGAUUUGUUCAAUUUGCUGGACAUUACCAUUGUUACCUUCUCAUCACACACUUAAUUUAAACACCAAGAAAUCAGUAUGAAGGAUUUAUCAUGUUCUCUGCAUCUGCUAUAACAGAAGCUGUGCUGAGGAAGCUUUACGAAUGUUAAAUGGAACCCAGUUGGGGGGACAAAGCAUUAGACUCUCAUGGGGCCGUAGUCCUUCAAACAAACAGGUUGAUCAAAUCCAGUCCAAUGCUGGAUAUUAUGGAUAUGCCCCUGGAUAUGAAACCUAUGGAUAUGCUCAAGCAGCUCAGGAUCCAAAUUUGUACUACGGAGGUUACCAAGGAUAUGGAAACUACCCACCGCCCCCUCAACAACCACCUCAGUAAUCCGUUGUGAACGAAGUAGUGAAGAACAGAGGAGCUGUCAGUUAUUCCACUGCAGUAUCGGCUGUUGCUUGGUCUUAGGAACUACUUAUUGGCUUUAUAGUUGUUUUUAAUUCUGUCUGUUGAACCGAAUUUAGGUCGGCUUGGCUCAUUUUGGUGGUGUUAAAAUUUACUUUUUGCUUGCUCUUAUUUUUCAUUUUCGUCCAUACACUAUAAAGUUCGGAUCAUGCUUUUGUUGGCCGUUGAUCUCUAGUUGAGAGUUUCUGGCCGAGUUGCUUCGAGAAUUGCUGUAAAGUGGUACUUUAUUUACGUGUCCGACUUUUGAGGUUUAAAAUGGAACCUUAAUUUCAGUUUGGUGGUAA
RNA transcript from Olea europaea var. sylvestris, 1780 nucleotides. It is a transcript of the gene named polyadenylate-binding protein RBP45-like, with no coding region annotated. The transcript is spliced from 6 exons. The record is from RefSeq and is a predicted model, not a curated record. NCBI's taxonomy places the organism in Eukaryota, Viridiplantae, Streptophyta, Magnoliopsida, Lamiales, Oleaceae.